Molecule: ribosomal RNA, 554 nt
Filed under: uncultured bacterium
Lineage: Bacteria
Description: partial 16S ribosomal RNA
Rfam family: Bacterial small subunit ribosomal RNA
Source: RNAcentral
UGGGGAAUUUUGGACAAUGGGCGAAAGCCUGAUCCAGCAAUGCCGCGUGUGUGAAGAAGGCCUUCGGGUUGUAAAGCACUUUUGUCCGGAAAGAAAUCCUUGGCUCUAAUACAGUCGGGGGAUGACGGUACCGGAAGAAUAAGCACCGGCUAACUACGUGCCAGCAGCCGCGGUAAUACGUAGGGUGCAAGCGUUAAUCGGAAUUACUGGGCGUAAAGCGUGCGCAGGCGGUUUGCUAAGACCGGUGUGAAAUCCCCGGGCUCAACCUGGGAACUGCAUUGGUGACUGGCAGGCUAGAGUAUGGCAGAGGGGGGUAGAAUUCCACGUGUAGCAGUGAAAUGCGUAGAGAUGUGGAGGAAUACCGAUGGCGAAGGCAGCCCCCUGGGCCAAUACUGACGCUCAUGCACGAAAGCGUGGGGAGCAAACAGGAUUAGAUACCCUGGUAGUCCACGCCCUAAACGAUGUCAACUAGUUGUUGGGGAUUCAUUUCCUUAGUAACGUAGCUAACGCGUGAAGUUGACCGCCUGGGGAGUACGGUCGCAAGAUUAAAACUC